CGGGUCAUAACGAUGCUCUUUCCUAUUCCCCAGGUGUAUUAAUUAACCUGUGGAACCACCGGGUCGUUGCGUGUCCGCCUUGGAGGACUUUCACCGGUGCCUUCCAAGGCCAGAGCCCAGGCCCCUCAUGAAGCUGGCUGACGGGAGCUGGGAAGAGGCGCCAGGCCCCCUACUUGGAGGAUUCCUGAGCGCGCCAACCUGGGCUCUAGAAAUGCAGCCUUUGUUCCCGCUGGAGCCGGGGAUCACUGGAAGCUCUGAGAACCGGGGCCGGGAGCGCGCACUGCAGCCGAACCUGCCGCGGCGUCCGUCGGAGAUGAAGGGGUCGAGAAAACGUGGUGUCCACACAGCGGAGUUGCAUUCAGCCAUAAAGAAGAACGAAAUUAUAUCAUUUACAGAAAAAUGGAUGGAAGUAGACAUCAUUGUGUUUAGCAAAAUAAGCCAAACCCAGAAGGUCGAGUCGUUUGUUUUCUCUUAUGUGGAAGCUGCAGAGGAAAGGGGGAAAGAAAGGUCGGGGGCGGGGCAGCGAUCUCCAGAAAAUCAGAGGGCCAUGGGUCAGUAGUGGAAAGGGCCCAGCGUGUGGGAGGAGGGCAGGGAGCGGGGAAGUGCUGGGGAGGGAUGUUGGCCAAAUUAUCUUGCUAUAUUGUGUGCAUGUCUAGUGUGUAACAACAAAUCCCAUCGUUAUGUACAAUUAUAAUGCACCAAUAAAAAAAUGUGGGGGAAAAAAAAGAAUUGGGGCUGGGAGCAUACUUCAGUGGUAGAGCCCUUGCCAAGUGUGCCCCAGGCCCUGAGUUCCAUUCCCAGUCCCUACACAAAGAAACAAAAACAAAAAAGAAACCAGCCCUGUGUUGAAUUUCUUUUGGCCAUUUCAACCCACCAGAGGAGUCUCCGUUUUUUUCUCUUAUUCUGUUUGGACACCGUCCUGGUCAUUGGAACUUAUCAGGACCUCCUUAAUGGAAGGGCUGGGCAGUAGACCCCUUCACUCACCUUUCUUUCUUUAUCAAGGAGUUAUAGAAGAACAUGCUUGUUAGCUUUGCCUCCUGAGUAGCCAGGUUUGUUUAGUUUUUAGAGUCUUGUUUUUAGCUUGCCACACAAGUUAUAUAUGCUUUGUGUGUGUGUGUGUGUAACCAUUUAAGUAGAAGAGGAAAAAAUAAACCACCAAGAAUCCCAAUAACAAGUGA
This is a long non-coding RNA of Marmota monax (woodchuck), 1178 nucleotides long. RefSeq lists it as uncharacterized. The record is from RefSeq and is a predicted model, not a curated record. NCBI's taxonomy places the organism in Eukaryota, Metazoa, Chordata, Mammalia, Rodentia, Sciuridae. The transcript has 2 exons.